CCACAAAACCCUACUGCCGACGACGCCAUUGCAGAUCCACUUCUCCACUCCGGCCGCCACUUCUUCUCCAAUUUCUGCCCCAAAUCCGUCACUUCUCCUCUUGGGCAAUUACGUCACCUUCAAUAUCGCGUCGUAUUUGAGAAAGGACUGAUUGAACUCAAGAAUCUCUUGAUUGUGGAGCUUGAACAGAUUCGUCAAUUAAAGAAAUUAAUGAUAAUGGAGAUGUUGCUGAUGAUCAUUACCACCGAUUCUUGGAAGAUAUUGAGAUUAUGCAUUCACUUGGAGUAAAUGCAUACCGGUUCUCAAUUUCAUGGGGUAGAAUUUUACCAAAAGGCAGAUUUGGUGAAACUAAUCCAGGUGGAAUCAUGUUUUAUAAUAAUAUUAUAGACCAUCUCUUGCUCAGAGGAAUUUAGCCGUUUGUGACCAUAUUCCACUUUGACUUACCACAAGAACUAGAAGAUAGAUAUGGGUCUUGGUUCAGCCCUCUAAUUCGGUAA
Pistacia vera is the source of this 497-nucleotide long non-coding RNA. RefSeq lists it as uncharacterized. The record is from RefSeq and is a predicted model, not a curated record. The transcript is spliced from 4 exons. NCBI's taxonomy places the organism in Eukaryota, Viridiplantae, Streptophyta, Magnoliopsida, Sapindales, Anacardiaceae.